GACGAACGCUGGCGGCGCGCUUAACACAUGCAAGUCGAACGGAAAGGCCUGCUUUCCCUUGUGGAUUGCGGGUACUCGAGUGGCGAACGGGUGAGUAACACGUGAGUGAUCUGCCCCCAACUUGGGUAUAAGCCUGGGAAACUGGGUCUAAUUCCCGAUAGGACUGCAGGGUGGUGCCUGUGGUGGAAAACGAUUUUCUAGUGGUUGGGGAUGAGCUCGCGGCCUAUCAGCUUGUUGGUGGGGUAAUGGCCUACCAAGGCGGCGACGGGUAGCCGGCCUGAGAGGGUGGACGGCCACAUUGGGACUGAGAUACGGCCCAGACUCGUACGGGAGGCAGCAGUGGGGAAUAUUGCACAAUGGGCGGAAGCCUGAUGCAGCGACGCAGCGUGGGGGAUGACGGCCUUCGGGUUGUAAACUCCUUUCGACCGCGAGGAAGCCACCUGGUUGGAAGGGUGGUGACGGUAGUGGUAGAAGAAGCACCGGCUAACUACGUG
Molecule: ribosomal RNA, 494 nt
Filed under: uncultured bacterium
Lineage: Bacteria
Description: partial 16S ribosomal RNA
Rfam family: Bacterial small subunit ribosomal RNA
Source: RNAcentral